AAAUGAAGCACAAAGGGCAUUGACGCAUUAUUGGCUUCAGCGGCCCGCGAAUAUUUCAAGAGAAAUAAACCCAAAUUUGGAAUUUCAUAGAAACUCAGGGAACUCUCAACUCUCCUUCUCACCCCUUUCUCUCUCCACUCUGCCUCCAAAUAUUUUUGCUCACUCUCGCUUCCCGCUCUCUCUUCCCCCCAUCUUUUUCCAUUUCUCUCUCAAAACGGAAACCCUAACAAUCCAAAUAUCACUUUUGAGUUCGCCUUCUUCUUCUUCUCUUGUUCUAUCUACCUCUCACUCACUCGCUGAGCUUUUUCUCAUCAGCAAGAUUUCUAGGGUUUUUGAAACCUCAGCGUAAUUACAUAUUCGAUCUUCGUUCCCUAGAAAUUUACUCGAGCGCCCUGCUUGUUCGUUUUCGUCAUUUCUGAGCUUAAUUUUGGCUGUUUGGUUAUCAAGCUCUGGACUUGGGGUAAUACAUUGACUUGAUCUGUAUUUUUUAAGGCGAUAGUACUUGUGGUUCUUCACAUUUUAUGUUUACUUAUAUAUGUUUGGAUUUGUGUUGUUUUUAUUAUGCAUUUGUAAAGACGUGGUUGUUUCUAAGAGUAUGUUUGGUAGCUGAAAAGAAAGAUGGAGGAAAGAAGAAGAAAAUUCAGUGUUCAAGUCCUUUUGGUUUGGUUUUUUAUUUUUAAAGUAGGCAGAAAAUUCAGUAUAAGCUUAUUUGAAUUUUGAAAAAUGAUAGAUGGUUCAAGGAAGGAAAGACAUACAUCAAUACAUGGAAUUGGGUAGUACUUAGUAGAUCACUGUAGGAUAAAGUAAAUAAUGAGUUUAUGGUUUUGAUUAAGAUACUUGCCGGAAAGGGUGGGCCUGAUUGAUUUCAUAUUCACAUCUGGAAUUACUUUGGUCAUUUAUACAUAUGUACGGUUACCAUGUUGAUUGGUUCUGAUUCUUUCAAUAGGUAUUUUGUCUGCAGGUUUGGAAUCUCUGGUUUGGGUGGUAGUUUGAUGUCAAAGGAACUGCUCUGAACCUUUUGGUCAGGAAAGGCCAGAUUGUUGUCUUUCAUACUUUUACAGGACAUCUCAUUUUGAUAGCACUUACUG
This 1088-nucleotide long non-coding RNA is filed under the name Prunus dulcis (almond). RNAcentral's name for it is "sRNA ncRNA". The record is from RNAcentral. Lineage: Eukaryota; Viridiplantae; Streptophyta; Magnoliopsida; Rosales; Rosaceae.